AUUUGAUACCCCUAUAGUUGUUGCAGCACUGGAUGUCACCUUUGUUCUUGUACAAGGGCACCACUGUACUCCACCUCCACUCCUCCGGCAUCUUCUUGGUCCCGAAGAUCGCAUUGAACAACCUGGAGAGCCACUCCACUCCUGACCUACCCAUGCAUUUCUAGAACUUUAUCGGGAUCUCGUCAGGCCUGGUCGCUCGACCCCUACUCAUCCUACGCAAAGCGCCCAUGACCUCCUCCGCCCUAAUGCGCCUGCAGUACCUAAGGUCUCUAUGUUGCUCUGA
RNAcentral lists this long non-coding RNA (283 nucleotides) under Nicotiana benthamiana. Its description in RNAcentral is "long non-coding RNA (NBEN_LNC028875)". Lineage: Eukaryota; Viridiplantae; Streptophyta; Magnoliopsida; Solanales; Solanaceae. The record is from RNAcentral.